This 698-nucleotide ribosomal RNA is filed under the name Escherichia coli. RNAcentral's name for it is "bacterial SSU rRNA". It matches the Rfam family "Bacterial small subunit ribosomal RNA", at positions 828 to 1526 of the family's 1533-position model. RNAcentral also lists the same sequence under 1 other name. Lineage: Bacteria; Pseudomonadati; Pseudomonadota; Gammaproteobacteria; Enterobacterales; Enterobacteriaceae. The record is from RNAcentral.
GCCCUUGAGGCGUGGCUUCCGGAGCUAACGCGUUAAGUCGACCGCCUGGGGAGUACGGCCGCAAGGUUAAAACUCAAAUGAAUUGACGGGGGCCCGCACAAGCGGUGGAGCAUGUGGUUUAAUUCGAUGCAACGCGAAGAACCUUACCUGGUCUUGACAUCCACGGAAGUUUUCAGAGAUGAGAAUGUGCCUUCGGGAACCGUGAGACAGGUGCUGCAUGGCUGUCGUCAGCUCGUGUUGUGAAAUGUUGGGUUAAGUCCCGCAACGAGCGCAACCCUUAUCCUUUGUUGCCAGCGGUCCGGCCGGGAACUCAAAGGAGACUGCCAGUGAUAAACUGGAGGAAGGUGGGGAUGACGUCAAGUCAUCAUGGCCCUUACGACCAGGGCUACACACGUGCUACAAUGGCGCAUACAAAGAGAAGCGACCUCGCGAGAGCAAGCGGACCUCAUAAAGUGCGUCGUAGUCCGGAUUGGAGUCUGCAACUCGACUCCAUGAAGUCGGAAUCGCUAGUAAUCGUGGAUCAGAAUGCCACGGUGAAUACGUUCCCGGGCCUUGUACACACCGCCCGUCACACCAUGGGAGUGGGUUGCAAAAGAAGUAGGUAGCUUAACCUUCGGGAGGGCGCUUACCACUUUGUGAUUCAUGACUGGGGUGAAGUCGUAACAAGGUAACCGUAGGGGAACCUGCGGUUGGAUCAC